UGGGGAAUAUUGCACAAUGGGCGAAAGCCUGAUGCAGCAACGCCGCGUGAGUGAUGAAGGUCUUCGGAUUGUAAAGCUCUGUCUUUUGGGACGAUAAUGACGGUACCAAAGGAGGAAGCCACGGCUAACUACGUGCCAGCAGCCGCGGUAAUACGUAGGUGGCGAGCGUUGUCCGGAUUUACUGGGCGUAAAGGGUGCGUAGGCGGAUGUUUAAGUGAGAUGUGAAAUACCCGGGCUUAACUUGGGUGCUGCAUUUCAAACUGGAUAUCUAGAGUGCAGGAGAGGAGAAUGGAAUUCCUAGUGUAGCGGUGAAAUGCGUAGAGAUUAGGAAGAACACCAGUGGCGAAGGCGAUUCUCUGGACUGUAACUGACGCUGAGGCACGAAAGCGUGGGUAGCAAACAGGAUUAGAUACCCUGGUAGUCCACGCCGUAAACGAUGAGUACU
Molecule: ribosomal RNA, 445 nt
Filed under: uncultured bacterium
Lineage: Bacteria
Description: partial 16S ribosomal RNA
Rfam family: Bacterial small subunit ribosomal RNA
Source: RNAcentral